Molecule: ribosomal RNA, 547 nt
Filed under: uncultured bacterium
Lineage: Bacteria
Description: partial 16S ribosomal RNA
Rfam family: Bacterial small subunit ribosomal RNA
Source: RNAcentral
UGGGGAAUUUUGGACAAUGGGCGAAAGCCUGAUCCAGCAAUGCCGCGUGUGUGAAGAAGGCCUUCGGGUUGUAAAGCACUUUUGUCCGGAAAGAAAUCCUUGGCUCUAAUACAGUCGGGGGAUGACGGUACCGGAAGAAUAAGCACCGGCUAACUACGUGCCAGCAGCCGCGGUAAUACGUAGGGUGCAAGCGUUAAUCGGAAUUACUGGGCGUAAAGUNUGCGCAGGCGGUUUGCUAAGACCGAUGUGAAAUCCCCGGGCUCAACCUGGGAACUGCAUUGGUGACUGGCAGGCUAGAGUAUGGCAGAGGGGGGUAGAAUUCCACGUGUAGCAGUGAAAUGCGUAGAGAUGUGGAGGAAUACCGAUGGCGAAGGCAGCCCCCUGGGCCAAUACUGACGCUCAUGCACGAAAGCGUGGGGAGCAAACAGGAUUAGAUACCCUGGUAGUCCACGCCCUAAACGAUGUCAACUAGUUGUUGGGGAUUCAUUUCCUUAGUAACGUAGCUAACGCGUGAAGUUGACCGCCUGGGGAGUACGGUCACAAGAUU